RNAcentral lists this transfer RNA (70 nucleotides) under Heliornis fulica (sungrebe). Its description in RNAcentral is "tRNA-Glu". It matches the Rfam family "tRNA". Rfam says of the family: Transfer RNA (tRNA) molecules are approximately 80 nucleotides in length. Their secondary structure includes four short double-helical elements and three loops (D, anti-codon, and T loops). Further hydrogen bonds mediate the characteristic L-shaped molecular structure. tRNAs have two regions of fundamental functional importance: the anti-codon, which is responsible for specific mRNA codon recognition, and the 3' end, to which the tRNAs corresponding amino acid is attached (by aminoacyl-tRNA synthetases). tRNAs cope with the degeneracy of the genetic code in two manners: having more than one tRNA (with a specific anti-codon) for a particular amino acid; and 'wobble' base-pairing, i.e. permitting non-standard base-pairing at the 3rd anti-codon position. Lineage: Eukaryota; Metazoa; Chordata; Aves; Gruiformes; Heliornithidae. The record is from RNAcentral.
UUCUUGUAGUUGAUUUUUUACAACGGUGAUUUUUCAAGUCAUUGGUCUUGGAUAGAAUCCAAGCAGGAAU